CAGGUUGAUCCUGCCGGACCUGACUGCUAUCGGAUUGGUACUAAGCCAUGCGAGUCGUUGUACAAUACAAGGCGGACUGCUCAGUAACACGUAGUUAACUUAACCUAUGGAUGGGCAUAACCUCGGGAACUGAGAAUAAUACCCAAUGGACCACAGUGCCUGGAAUGGCCUGUGGUUGAAAUGAUUUAUCGCCGUAGGAUAGGACUGCGGCCUAUCAGCUUGUUGGUGAGGUAAUGGCCCACCAAGGCUAUAACAGGUACGGGCUCUGAGAGGAGGGGCCCGGAGAUGGGUACUGAGACACGGACCCAGGCCCUAUGGGGCGCAGCAGGCGAGAAACCUUUGCAAUGUGCGAAAGCACGACAAGGUUAAUCCGAGUGUCUCCUGCUAAAGGAGUCUUUUGUCAGUUGUAGAAUCACUGGUGAAUAAGGGGUGGGCAAGUUCUGGUGUCAGCCGCCGCGGUAAAACCAGCACCUCGAGUGGUCAGGAGGUUUAUUGGGCCUAAAGCAUCCGUAGCCGGUUGCAUAAGUUUUCGGUUAAAUCUAUGCGCUUAACGUAUAGGCCGCCGAAAAUACUGUGCAGCUAGGGAGUGGGAGAG
Molecule: ribosomal RNA, 595 nt
Filed under: uncultured archaeon
Lineage: Archaea
Description: bacterial SSU rRNA
Rfam family: Archaeal small subunit ribosomal RNA
Source: RNAcentral